RNAcentral lists this small RNA (891 nucleotides) under Pongo abelii (Sumatran orangutan). RNAcentral's name for it is "retained intron". Lineage: Eukaryota; Metazoa; Chordata; Mammalia; Primates; Hominidae. The record is from RNAcentral.
GUUUGGCAGGGCGGGACGCCUCGCGAAGAUGGUGGUGCGCGGGGCGUGUGGCUCCCGUCGUCUGGCCAAGUCUCAGCGCAGCGCACCGGCCGGCGUCUCGCUGGCCUGGAGCCCACACCCACCGGGUCCCUGACCCCGCGCCCCCCGCGCCCGGUUCCCGGCAUGCCUCGCGCCCGUAAGGGCAACACGCUUCGGAAGGGUGGUCAGCGCCGUGGAGGAGGUGCCCGGAGCAGUGCCCAAGCUGACUCGGGUUCCAGUGAUGAUGAGGCAGCCAGUGAGGCCCGCAGCACCGCCAGUGAAUGCCCCAGCUUUCUCAGCACCACUGUAGAGGACAGCCUUGGUGAGAACGGGUGGAAGUUUGACAGGAGCUUAGUGAGGGCUCCAUGGGCUGAGGACAAGAAGCAGUGCUGACCAGGUGGCCUUGCAGGGGGGGAUGUCGUGGAUGAGCAGGGCCAGCAGGAAGACCUUGAGGAAAAGCUGAAGGAGUAUGUGGACUGCCUCACAGACAAGAGGUACCCCUGGCUGCCAGCCAACUCCUACACCCAGCUCCAAGUGUGACCAAGGGAGGGCUGGCCCAUGUGACCCCCCUUCUCGACCUCCCCCAGUGCCAAGACCCGGCAGGGUGCUCUCGAGAGCCUGCGCCUGGCCCUGGCGUCCCGCCUACUCCCCGACUUCUUGCUGGAGCGCCGCCUCACACUAGCCGAUGCCCUGGAAAAGUGCCUCAAGAAAGGUUGGACCUGGGGGUACGUGGGAGACUUAAACUGGGCAGACACUGGCCCUUGCUGCAUGGGCUGACUGGAAAGCAUCCCACAGGCAAGGGCGAGGAACAAGCCCUGGCUGCUGCUGUGCUAGGCCUGCUCUGCGUGCAGCUGGGCCCUGGACUUAAGGGUG